GAGUCUGUGGCCCAACGGCUAAGGCGUCUGACUACGGAUCAGGAGAUUGCGGGUUCAAAUCCCGUCAGACUCG
This 73-nucleotide transfer RNA is filed under the name Anncaliia algerae PRA109. Its description in RNAcentral is "tRNA-Arg (ACG) (tRNA-Arg-ACG-1-1, tRNA-Arg-ACG-1-2)". It matches the Rfam family "tRNA". From Rfam's summary of the family: Transfer RNA (tRNA) molecules are approximately 80 nucleotides in length. Their secondary structure includes four short double-helical elements and three loops (D, anti-codon, and T loops). Further hydrogen bonds mediate the characteristic L-shaped molecular structure. tRNAs have two regions of fundamental functional importance: the anti-codon, which is responsible for specific mRNA codon recognition, and the 3' end, to which the tRNAs corresponding amino acid is attached (by aminoacyl-tRNA synthetases). tRNAs cope with the degeneracy of the genetic code in two manners: having more than one tRNA (with a specific anti-codon) for a particular amino acid; and 'wobble' base-pairing, i.e. permitting non-standard base-pairing at the 3rd anti-codon position. The record is from Rfam by way of RNAcentral. Lineage: Eukaryota; Fungi; Microsporidia; Tubulinosematidae.